RNAcentral lists this ribosomal RNA (438 nucleotides) under uncultured bacterium. Its description in RNAcentral is "bacterial SSU rRNA". It matches the Rfam family "Bacterial small subunit ribosomal RNA", at positions 30 to 514 of the family's 1533-position model. The record is from RNAcentral.
UGAACGCUGGCGGUAGGCCUAACACAUGCAAGUCGAACGCAGUAGCAAUACUGAGUGGCAGACGGGUGAGUAACAUGUGGGAAUCUGCCUUGUGGUUCAGGACAACAUUGGGAAACCGAUGCUAAUACUGGAUAAGCCCUUACGGGGAAAGUUUUAAUGCCAUAAGAUGAGCCCGCAUUUGAUUAGUUAGUUGGUGAGGUAAUGGCUCACCAAGACAACGAUCAAUAGCUGAUCUGAGAGGAUGAUCAGCCACACUGGGACUGAGACACGGCCCAGACUCCUACGGGAGGCAGCAGUGGGGAAUCUUAGACAAUGGGCGCAAGCCUGAUCUAGCCAUGCCGCGUGAGCGAUGAAGGCCUUAGGGUUGUAAAGCUCUUUCAGUGGGGAAGAUAAUGACUGUACCCACAGAAGAAGCCCCGGCUAACUCCGCGCCAGCAG